Molecule: long non-coding RNA, 451 nt
Organism: Camelina sativa (false flax)
Lineage: Eukaryota; Viridiplantae; Streptophyta; Magnoliopsida; Brassicales; Brassicaceae
Source: RefSeq, a predicted model, not a curated record
CUUAUUUUAGGAUCAAAAGAAACGUUUCUUGGUGGACAGGUGGCGCGAUGAGAUUAAUUUGAUUUUUUUCUUCUCUUCCAAUUGAUUCCCACGUCUGAUUCUCCAUGGAUUCGGCGUCGAUUUGGUUCCGGUGAAGCAGACGGAUUUGAUUCCGGUGAAGAUCGAUCUGUCGAAACCCUAAUAUUUGGGGAAGAUUCAAGCACUUCGAUUGCGUUAGUUGAGCUCAAGCAAGUCACAGUUAAGGCGACAAGGAAACAACAUUUCAACCAACCGAAAGAGAACAAGGAACACAUGGGGCGAUAUAUAUAUGACUCUGCUUUCUCGGGAAGUAAUGGUUAUCUGGUUGACGAAGAAUCUAGCCAUCGGCUAUAUGAUAACAUUUUUCUUACUCGGUAUUGUAUAUAUCACAUGCUUUUGUUUUUUGCUACUCGUUCAAUAACCAUCAGCUGUU